RNAcentral lists this ribosomal RNA (504 nucleotides) under Rhodococcus sp. CC-BC08. RNAcentral describes it as "bacterial SSU rRNA". It matches the Rfam family "Bacterial small subunit ribosomal RNA", at positions 1 to 525 of the family's 1533-position model. The record is from RNAcentral. Lineage: Bacteria; Bacillati; Actinomycetota; Actinomycetes; Mycobacteriales; Nocardiaceae.
UGGAGAGUUUGAUCCUGGCUCAGGGACGAACGCUGGCGGCGUGCUUAACACAUGCAAGUCGAGCGGUAAGGCCUUUCGGGGUACACGAGCGGCGAACGGGUGAGUAACACGUGGGUGAUCUGCCCUGCACUUCGGGAUAAGCCUGGGAAACUGGGUCUAAUACCGGAUAUGACCUCCUAUCGCAUGGUGGGUGGUGGAAAGAUUUAUCGGUGCAGGAUGGGCCCGCGGCCUAUCAGCUUGUUGGUGGGGUAAUGGCCUACCAAGGCGACGACGGGUAGCCGACCUGAGAGGGUGACCGGCCACACUGGGACUGAGACACGGCCCAGACUCCUACGGGAGGCAGCAGUGGGGAAUAUUGCACCAAUGGGCGAAAGCCUGAUGCAGCGACGCCGCGUGAGGGAUGACGGCCUUCGGGUUGUAAACCUCUUUCAGCAGGGACGAAGCGCAAGUGACGGUACCUGCAGAAGAAGCACCGGCUAACUACGUGCCAGCAGCCCGGGGGGA